This 809-nucleotide ribosomal RNA is filed under the name uncultured Actinomycetales bacterium. RNAcentral describes it as "bacterial SSU rRNA". It matches the Rfam family "Bacterial small subunit ribosomal RNA", at positions 72 to 894 of the family's 1533-position model. Lineage: Bacteria; Bacillati; Actinomycetota; Actinomycetes; Actinomycetales. The record is from RNAcentral.
AAGUUUCUUCGGAAAUGAAUUAGCGGCGAACGGGUGAGGAACACGUGAAGAAUCUGCCCUCCACUUUAGGAUAACACCGGGAAACCGGUGCUAAUACCGAAUAUUGAAACAUAAGUGGCAUCACUGAGUUGUGAAAGAAUUUCGGUGGAGGAUGACUUCGCGGCCUAUCAGGUAGUUGGUGAGGUAAUGGCUCACCAAGGCAACGACGGGUAGCCGGCCUGAGAGGGCGACCGGCCACACUGGGACUGAGACACGGCCCAGACUCCUACGGGAGGCAGCAGUGGGGAAUAUUGGGCAAUGGAGGAAACUCUGACCCAGCGACGCCGCGUGCGGGAUGAAGGCCUUCGGGUUGUAAACCGCUUUCAGUAGGGAAGAAGCGAAAGUGACGGUACCUACAAAAGAAGCACCGGCUAACUAUGUGCCAGCAGCCGCGGUAAUACAUAGGGUGCAAGCGUUGUCCGGAAUUAUUGGGCGUAAAGAGCUCGUAGGUCGUUUGUUACGUCGGAUGUGAAAACCUGAGGCUCAACCUCAGGCCUGCAUUCGAUACGGGCAAACUAGAGUUUGGUAGGGGAGACUGGAAUUCCUGGUGUAGCGGUGGAAUGCGCAGAUAUCAGGAGGAACACCAAUGGCGAAGGCAGGUCUCUGGGGCCAAUACUGACACUGAGGAGCGAAAGUCUGGGGAGCGAACAGGAUUAGAUACCCUGGUAGUCCAGACCGUAAACGGUGGGCACUAGUUGUGGGACCUUCCACGGUUUCUGCGACGCAGCUAACGCAUUAAGUGCCCCGCCUGGGGAGUACGAUCGCAAGAU